RNAcentral lists this ribosomal RNA (253 nucleotides) under uncultured bacterium. RNAcentral's name for it is "partial 16S ribosomal RNA". It matches the Rfam family "Bacterial small subunit ribosomal RNA", at positions 524 to 776 of the family's 1533-position model. The record is from RNAcentral.
UACAGAGGUCCCAAGCGUUGUUCGGAUUCACUGGGCGUAAAGGGUGCGUAGGUGGCCUAAAAAGUUUGAUGUGAAAGCUCAGGGCUUAACCCUGAAAUGGCAUUGAAUACUGUUGGGCUGGAGGUUUGGAGGGGGGACUGGAAUUCUUGGUGUAGCAGUGAAAUGCGUAGAUAUCAGGAGGAACACCUGCGGUGUAGACGGCUUACUGGACGGUAACUGACGCUGAGGCACGAAAGCGUGGGUAGCAAACAGG